UCGGCACUAUUUUUUUCUGCACAGCGCAAAUCAAAUGACAUCAUGAAUUUCUCUAAACCUCGAGGGUGACACAGCCCUUUGGAAUCCAGUGCUGUGAGCGCUCAGUGCUUGUGAGUAGCCGGGCUGCGUCCCUGCCUCCCCAACUCAGGCAGAGCAGAGGCCUCAGGCUUUCAGGGAGUGAACAGGAAGGAAAACACAGGAGCCAGCAGAUACCGAGAAAGCGUCUGCUGAGUUUGAGUCCUGGCCCAGUGGGUUGUGCCAGCAGGAAAGUGACUUCCAUGGGACGAGGCGUAUCACCUGCACCCAAGGCGCAGGGAGCGGUGGUCACAUUUCGUGCACCUAGAGAUUCUUGGGGACCCUCAAGAGCUGCGUCUCCUCUCGUCCUGAUGGCACCUGGUGCAGCAUGACUUCUGGACACAUCCCUGGGAUGCCAGUGAGAUUUCUGCCCAUCAAGGGCGCCCAGCAGGAAAAUCCAGCCAGAAGGAAGAGAGCUAAGCACACAAGGAUCCAAGGAUCUGAGCAGGCCCCGCCCGACUCAGGGGUGAGGCUGACCUCCCAGGACGGACAGAGGAGAUUACUUCACAGAAAAGCAUUGUGGGGUCAAAGCAGAGCAGGGCUCAAAGAGCCAUUUUAAUCGACUUUUUCUGCAAUCAAAACAUUCAGCCGCUUGCUCACGCUAGGACGCUCUGUUCUUCGAACAUGGACCCUCGGCCUUGCUGAUGAACACCUGCCCCCACACUGCCUCUCCUGCCUGAGCUUCUUUCCAAAGACCCAGCGCACACAAGACUUCACUCGUGUGUGUCGUGUGUUGUGCUCGCCUGCACUUGGGCACAUCCCUGUGGAGUGUCAAGCGACCCACUCAAGAGCCGCAUUCCAGCCCUCUCAUGGCAGCUGGCCUGUCCCUGUGUGGGGACUCGGCACGGGACGUGGUAUUUAUAGUCCGCAUCGCGGGUCCCGCCUCACCACGCGUUUCUGCAGCAGGAGAGAGCGAGCCACAUGGAUCCCGACCGUGAAUGAAUAAGACUCCUUCCCUUGCCCAUUAGCCCCGGAGUCAGCCUUUGGUCAUCUAAGGCAAGUCCUUGUCCACAGCAAACCAACCAAGCGCCACCUCAGGAAGCCACUUUUUGCAACAGUCUUCACAUGUGGAUGAUACAAAGGCAUUUGAAAAGUCAGGAUCAAUGACCACUCUGCUGCCACGAUUUCCCCCUUUCCGCAUGGAUGUUGACCCUUCAGAAGUUUGGUUGUGUUAGGACGGCGUGCCAUCUCCUCCCUGAGGUCCCGCUGCCCUCCAUCCAGAAGGCGGGCUCCAUGGACACGCCCUAUACUCUGCUUUUCACUGAGAGUGGGCAGCAGGUUCACCCAAGAGCUGUGAGCAAAUCCGCUGAGGGACUGGCUCCCUCCACCCCCAGGGUUCCAUCCUUCAAGCCCACGAUGGCUUUCCUGCUCCAUCCACGGUUGGGCUCGCAGGGUGGGUCAACUGCACUGUGCGGUGGAAUCCUGUCUCCCAGCUGUAACCUGUCACCUGCCCCAUGACCUGCACGGCCUCCCCGAUCUGCUCACAUCAGUGUUUACAGACUGUGUUCUGCUCCACAGAAAGGAGUGUCCCGUGGUUGAAUACUUAUGGAAGCCUCUGGAGAUUAUAGUCCCCUGUAAGAGAUCCAGAAAGCGUACUCAAAAUGCACAGAACUCCCGCCGCACGGAAGCCCGUUCACAUUCGUGUCACCCCACACGUCCUGGGGGUCUUUGGACUGGAGCCAUCUUGCCCGUCUGCCCCAAGAGGGUGCCUCUCUGCCCACCGCGCCUCCCUCUCUGGCCCUGCUCUUCCAGCCUGAAAAGUCAGCCCACACCUCUUUCCCCAUAAAUCUUCCCCUCCUUUCACUGCCGACCGUGCACUCCCUCACAUUCCCUCAGCUCUCAAGGUCCCUGUAACACGAUGUACCAUCCGAUCUGAGAUGCAUGUUUUAUGGACGUUGGGCCAAGAGUCCUUUGAAAGUGGGAGUCACGUUCUGUUCCUUCCCUGUGCCUGGACCAGCACGGAGCAGGCACAGACCGGCCAGCACUCCUCAGCUGCUGGACCUUUUCCCAAUGCUUAGUCGCUCGGCGUCCCUCCUCCUGGAUGGCUUGGCUGGGUUUGCUCAUUAGUGCCUCUACCAGGGAUGAAGGGCGGGGGAUGAAAGGCAGAGCUGGCGCCCUGUGUCAUUAGCCAACUCCUAACAUGGUGCAGGGGUUUGCUUGGCCAAAGGGAAUUGUUUGUAUAUUUCUGUAUUUGAAGAGCCGAAGGAGAAAUUUCCUCUCCAGUGUGUGUCUGUGUGUCUGUCUGUGUCUGUGUAUAUGUGUGUCUCUGUCUGUAUAUCUACAGAUGUAUGUAUGUCUAUGUUAUGUCUGUAUACGUGUCUGCGUACAUGUCUAUGUAAGUGUGUACGUAUGUCUGCACAUGUCCAUGUGUGUCUCUGGAUAUUUGUGUGUGUCUGUUAUGUCUGUGUAUGUGUGUCUCUGUCUGUGUCUGUGUGUCUCUGAAUGACUCUGUGUAUGUAUGUUUAUGGAUGCAUGUUGUAUAUGUCUCUAGGCUUCUUUGUGUGUCUGUAUAUGUGUGUGUGUUUGUAGAUGUGUGUGUGCAUGGAUGUGGUGUCUACACUCAUGUGAACCCAGGGCACCCACAGUUGGUCCAGCCUACUCUCUGACACAGGACACCUGAGUCUUGCAGGCAUCCUGAGUGUCCUCAGUGAUGGCCAUGUCGUCGCAGCUUCCCCAUCCUCCCGGCCUCUGUCCCCUGGGUUUUCCACUGCACCACGGUGUCCAGACCCUGGAGCAGUAGGACACUGAGUUUCAACAUGUCCUCCAACUGCAGCCCACCGCUUGCAGCCUGGAGGGGACAGCCCAGCUGAGUUGCAUCUCUGCAUGUCCCAGGAACCCGGCCUGGCUCCAGAGCCAGCCCUGCCAGUUCUGUGGGGAGAUGCCUCUAGAAAUGUCACAACCAGCAUGUCACUGGCUUCUCCACCUCCUUUGCUUUCUAGACCAAAUGAUGACCAGACGUGGGCCUGGGCCACUCAGCUCUUCAGAGGCUCUGGGCCUUGCCCGCACCAAUUCACCGAGUGGGAAGCCCUGGAGGGGUGGCCCUCAGUGCCCACACCACAUCGGUCCACGAUGGAAGCUUUACCUGCUCGGCCAUCCCUUGGCGUGGCGACUUUCAUUUCUUGCAAAUGAUGAUGAUCUCUUCUUUCUUUCCCUGGAGACCUCAAACAUUCCUCUUUACAUUUGAAGUUCCCAAAUGAAUAUUUUUAAAAUGUAUUCUGCUGUGAAUUUGCCUUGUAAAUAGGGCCGGCUACCUCAUUUGCAGGACUCAGUGCAUUUUAAAAUGUGGGACCCUUGUUCAAAAGGCAGGAAAACAGCACUUAAUGAUACCAAAAUAUAAAGCUCUCCUUUCCUCCAUUUUUUCUUGACUUGCCGUGGUGUUUUUGUUACUUAAUGUCGUUGCAAGUAAAGAAAAGUGAAAAUUUUAAAUUAUUAGCAUGUCUUAGCAUUCACCUUUAUAUUGUGCAAUGCCAGUUUUAAAUGCAAAUUCGAGUGCAUUUAACUCGCACGAGGAACCAUUGAAAUUACGUAGUUUGUAUUUUGUAGCUUGUACACACAUGAGUAUUUCAUUUUUACCAGAACAGGGGAAAUGCUGCACAAAACCCAUCCCAUCAUCUUUAGUUCACGUCUUGACACCGUGGCUUAGUGAGGAGAAGGGCAGGACUGAAGGAUAGGCGCUAUGGGCCCCCUCUUCCCUUCCAUCCUGCGUCAUCACUUUCAGACAAGUGGCUGUCUGACCAGGGACGUUCAAUGGGGAGAAAGAAUAGGACAAGUGCCUGGGCCAUUCGUGUUUCUGAGAAGGUCACUGCCUUCUUUUGCAUUUGAAGCGAGUUCAGCUUCAAGUGGCGCGUCUGGCUUCUCAGAGCUGUCAGUGCCCCACUUACUCAGCUGUAAAGGGGACGCGCUUACCUGUACUUGCUUGCAGUCUUGCCAAACUGCAUGCAUCUUUGGUCCACACUCUGUGUUUAUGGGGCAUUGUGAACACAAAUGGGACAGCAAGAACCGGCAGACAGCAGCUCCACGUGGCUUCUUCUCUGCUAACACACACCCUCCAUUGUCUCAUAGGACUUCACUGACAAAACAAAUCCCAAAUCAAAUUAUUAACAAUUCCAAGAUGGUGUCCACAGAGCAUGAUGUCAGGUGGAAGCCCUUUUGAGUGUAGAGCCCGUGUGACGGUGAAGGCCACACAGCUGUGAGGCCGGCCCCGCACAGAACUGAGAAAGUCCUGAUACGCGCUCUUCUGUUGGUUAGCUGAGUACCUUCUUCCCUGGAUUCUGCCUGUUCCCUGGGACUCCUGGUAAAUACAUGACGAGACUUCUGGCCCUCCCCUUCAUGUGCCCACUUCUCCCUCUGAUCGUGAUCUCUUUGUCCUUAUGAACAUUCUUCAAGAAACCCUUGAUCUUUCAGUUCAAUACUUCAUCCUUCAAUGUGUCUGUUCAAUCAUUUUUUAAAUUUUGAAGUUUUAUAGUUCUUUUUCUAACAGCCUCAUCUUGUUUUGUGGAUGGUUUAUAUUCUCUAAUCUCCUGGACUAUAUUAAUGAUAAUUACCUUGAAGACUUUCAUCUUAGUCUGCAUUGGCUCUUCCAGUUGUUGAGUUUGAUUGCCACUUUCCCAUAGCGUCCAUUUUGCUCCAACUAUCCGUUCAUCUUGCUUGGCUAUCUACUUUCCUUUCUGUUUGGGAAUCCUCGGCCAGCAUGGUUGUCUGGGCUCCGUUUUCUCAUUUGUAAAAUAAGGGCCUCAAGCAGAUCAGCGGCUUUCCACUCUUUUUAGCUUUGGGAAAUGUCAAAUGAGAACUUAUUUGUGAAAGCACAGUGUGUAAGUGGAGGGGGUACAGCAAUCAUCACGGCAGGUGACCUUGAAGGUCCCUCCUGCGACCCCACUCAAGACAGGCCUGGCCCUGGGGCUCCUGGGCCCUUCCACACAGCCUGACCCAGCAGCUAAUGGACCAGGUCAUCCAGAUGGUCAUUUCAGGCUCAAUAUUAUGGGAUUCCUUGUGGGGAGCACAUAGAUUGGAACUUCUGUGAAAUGCCUCCCUGCAUGUCCAUUUUGGCAUGGUUCUAGAGAUGGAAGGGUCCCCUGGCAGACAGACUCCCAACGACUUGCUCAAUACCACCCUCUGGAUGGGAACAGAACUCCCAUCAGUGGCUUCCAGAUAAAGUCUCGACAAAGAAAGCCACACAGAACAGUGGUGACGUCAGUUCUGUAAAACUCACAAUUACAUUCUUUUCUUUAAGUGGACCUCCUGAUUUCAAAGGGAUCAUUUCCAAAAAAGACUGGGCCGGGCUCCAGUCUUGGCCUCUGUGGAUAAUAUCAAAGUAGAUGCUAUAAAUUAGUAAAUUCAUGGCAGUCUAUCAUAAACGAGACAAAACGGCCUUUGCUGCGAGACCCCACGGCUGCUCUUCCUCAGCCCGUGCGGAGCAGACGCCAGGUGGGACGGGGCUCCGUGGACCUGCUGUCUAGUUUCUGAUCUAGAAACAAGUCAAAGCACCAGUGUGGAAAUACCUGCUGUUCUUAAAAUAGGUCUAUGUGGCUCAGUGUUUUUUGUUUUUCCUUAAGGGCACUUGAGAUUCAACACAAAAAUGAGGAAGUGAAAGCUUUGAAUUGGUUUGUCCUCUUUUAUCAUCUUGGGGAGGAUGGUUCUUUUUUGUAAGUGUUUCUGGGAGGAAAAUUGAAUUUAUUUCUCUUAAGAGGUCAGUUUUACAUGAAUCAAACUAGUAACAACAACAAUAUUAAUAAUAAUAAUAAUAAAUCCUGUUCAGAACCUCGAGAAAGUCUGCAGCUGGAGACUGGUCUUCCCUCGGCUCUGGAGGUGUCCGGCUCAUCGGCCUCCCCAGGGUCUCUCCUCCUUGCACCCUGGGACGAAGGGCUGCCCCUCACGCCUCUGCUUCAUCUUGAACUCUGAUCUCCUUGUCCUUUAGCA
Molecule: long non-coding RNA, 5991 nt
Filed under: Equus caballus (horse)
Lineage: Eukaryota; Metazoa; Chordata; Mammalia; Perissodactyla; Equidae
Description: lncRNA (ENSECAG00000056278.1)
Source: RNAcentral